This 460-nucleotide ribosomal RNA is filed under the name uncultured bacterium. RNAcentral's name for it is "partial 16S ribosomal RNA". It matches the Rfam family "Bacterial small subunit ribosomal RNA", at positions 338 to 795 of the family's 1533-position model. The record is from RNAcentral.
CCUACGGGUGGCAGCAGUGAGGAAUAUUGGUCAAUGGACGCAAGUCUGAACCAGCCAAGUAGCGUGCAGGAUGACUGCCCUAUGGGUUGUAAACUUCUUUUAUACAGGGAUAAAACGAGGCACGUGUGCCUUUUUGCAUGUACUUUAUGAAUAAGGAUCGGCUAACUCCGUGCCAGCAGCCGCGGUAAUACGGAGGAUCCGAGCGUUAUCCGGAUUUAUUGGGUUUAAAGGGAGCGUAGAUGGGUUGUUAAGUUAGUUGUGAAAUUUUGCGGCUCAACCGUAAAAUUGCAUUUGAUACUGGUGGUCUUGAGUAUAGUUGAGGUAGGCGGAAUUCGUGGUGUAGCGGUGAAAUGCUUAGAUAUCACGAAGAACCCCGAUUGCGAAGGCAGCUUACUAAACUGUGACUGACAUUGAGGCUCGAAAGUGUGGGUAUCAAACAGGAUUAGAUACCCGUGUAGUC